RNAcentral lists this ribosomal RNA (497 nucleotides) under uncultured bacterium. Its description in RNAcentral is "partial 16S ribosomal RNA". It matches the Rfam family "Bacterial small subunit ribosomal RNA", at positions 28 to 507 of the family's 1533-position model. The record is from RNAcentral.
GAUGAACGCUGGCGGCGUGCCUAAUACAUGCCAGUCGAGCGAACGGACGAGAAGCUUGCUUCUCUGAUGUUAGCGGCGGACGGGUGAGUAGCACGUGGAUAACCUACCUAUAAGACUGGGAUAACUUCGGGAAACCGGAGCUAAUACCGGAUAAUAUUUUGAACCGCAUGGUUCAAAAGUGAAAGACGGUCUUGCUGUCACUUAUAGAUGGAUCCGCGCUGCAUUAGCUAGUUGGUAAGGUAACGGCUUACCAAGGCAACGAUGCAUAGCCGACCUGAGAGGGUGAUCGGCCACACUGGAACUGAGACACGGUCCAGACUCCUACGGGAGGCAGCAGUAGGGAAUCUUCCGCAAUGGGCGAAAGCCUGACGGAGCAACGCCGCGUGAGUGAUGAAGGUCUUCGGAUCGUAAAACUCUGUUAUUAGGGAAGAACAUAUGUGUAAGUAACUGUGCACAUCUUGACGGUACCUAAUCAGAAAGCCACGGCUAACUACGUG